GCAGGAGGGCUUUUGCUCAAGUCAAGUUCAAACAAAGGCUUCCCAUCCGGGGCUCCUCGGUCCUUCCACCCUCCAGCUCUGCCACCUUCCAGGCGGCUUCCAAAGACCCUGAGCCCCCGUGCCUCUUGCUGGCAGACAGGGGACACGCAUGGAGAGCCGUCCCCUGAGUCAUGGGCCCGGCCUCAAGAUGGCCCAUCAUGCCCACCGUGGUCCAGUGGCUGGUACCGUCUCGUGGCCGCCAUGGGCCAAGAGGAAAUGCGCUUUGGGAAGGCGCUGCCCAAACUGUGCCCUAGAGACGGCUGGUGAGCUUCUUACUAUGCGGGGGGGGGGCGGGGGAGGGCACAUUUUCUGGAACCCCCCCCCUUUUCACCCAUUACUUACGCCUUCACUAGAGCAUCACUCAGUGUCUGCCUCGCGAUGGGACUGUCGCAGGUUUGAUGACAUUUCUUGUCGUUGCCCGACGCUUUAUCACCUGCAGACGCACCUCUGCUUGCAUGCUUGUUUCUGUCGCUGGUUCACCCCAGGUCUGGGUCCCUGGGCUCGGCCAAGGUCCUGUGUCUGGCAGCUUCCUGCGCCCCCUUUCCCGAGUCUCCCUGUGCGUCUCCUCCACAGGCCAGGCCAGGCCGGUCUCUCAGGGUUUCCACGGGACCCUCUCUCUGCUGUUCCCGUGGGUGGUGUCGUGAUGGACCAGGGCUCUGGCCUCCUUAACCAACAGAGACCGAUAGGGGCCAGACUAGAAUUCAGGCCAGGCUUUACUGGGGCCCCUGCUGCAGCUGGGGGGUGCGGGGGGAGUGAAAACAAGUAGCAAGUUCUCUUGCUCACUCCGUGAGGUGGGGGGCAAGCUGGUUCUUUAGAUGGGGUGAGGUGGGGGGGCCCAGGGGCCAGAGGCGGGGCUUAGGUGGCCCGCCCCCUUGCUGGUGCUGUGUGCAGGGAGCCAACGAAGCUCCCAUUUUUGCUCAGCUCUUCAAAGAGGCAGUUGGGUUUUUGGCCUUUUUGUAUCUUGUAUGUAAUUGGCCCCAACUGCAUGCAUACGGCUAUUUUUAGUCCCCAGUAGGUUCUUUGUAUGCUGUUGCUGGAGGAGCUGUUUGCCCCGGGGCCCAGGCCACAGCCUGUCUCCGCGCAGCCUCUCCCAGUGAGGUCCGUGGGAAAGCCUCCUACCUCCAGACCCUGCUGCGGCCGGGACCUUCGUCUCCCUCCAGUCCUCCUUGGGGUUUCCUGCCAGUGUCCCGAACCCCACCUGACCCCUCCGAGCCCUCUGACCCCCAGCACAGGCUCCCUUCGGCCCAGCCCCCAAUCUCCCAGCAUCUCAGGGAGCGAGGCGCUGUCCACUCCGGCCCCAAACACAGGGGCCCUGGCCCCUCACCCAGCACCCCUCCAGCCUGCCCUGCUGAGCUGUCCUCCUGGCGGGGAUCGCCCCCUCCAAGGGACCCCUCUUGGGGGGCGUCCAGCCUCAGGUGUCUGCACCGCUUCCUCUGUGAAGCCGCAGCCCCCGUGAAGGGCCCUGGGCCUGCGGCUGCCCCGGCCUCUCUCGCCAAGGGCUCGUGUACCUUCCUAAUCAGCUCUCCAGGGACCAGGCCCGGGAGGUGGCUCUCGCCCUGAGAGGGCGAGGCUGCUUGUCGUGGCAGGUGCCUGCAGGACCCAGGGAUCCCCGCUGGAAGGCCCAGGAACACGUGGAGAUCCAGGUAAUGAAAGCCCCGCAGUAAAACAUGUAAUUAGCUACAAACAACGCAUUGUGUGGUGUCACCCUUCAGCAGAUUCUAAAUAAGCCUGGGCUGAGGAAUCACUACCCUAGGCUCUGUGUUUGGCGAAUUUCAACCCCCUGGAGAACUAAGCCGAGUAAUUACCAGGCAGCUGAGAGGCCAGGCCAGCCCCUGCUUGGAUCCUCAGGUCCCCGCUCCAAUUAGUGGGAGCCGCAGCCCUGCCAAGGUUGUGACAGCGAAGCACGCCGGCCGGGACCAGCCUUCACUGUCGGGGGUCCCUUGUGUGUGUGUUCCUGCUCCUCCAGACACCCCAGCCAGUCGGGGGGAAGAACGUUUAUUUAAUGCAGGAAACCCUCAUGGACUCUGGGUGGGCUGGGAAUGCAGGAAACGGCCCAGCGAGCGUCCAAGUUCAUGGUCAUCAAGAGAGCAGGGCCAGGAGGCACCAACGAAACCGGAGCUCGGUCCCAUCGGCGGACAGCGCAGGCCCGACUGCCGUCUUCUCAGCUGUUGAAAGGCGCCCCCCCCAACAUUCAGCUAAAAGUGCAGGUAACCCUGCUUUGUCCCCACGCCUGUGUGUGGGAAGUGGCCUCGAGGACACCUGGCGGAGGCGUCUGUCUGGGCUCCGGGGCGAAGGCGCCUGAGGGCACAAUCCCCGCACCUUCACACUGAGGGCUGCGGGCAUCCAGAGCCCCUCGAAGCCCCUCCCUCACCCCCAGGGACCAGGGACCCCAGGCCCUGGAAGGAGGUGCAGGGGUGGCCCCAGGGUGUGUCCCAAGUGCCUUGUGCUCCGCAGAGAAGGGACCCUGGACACCAGCUGGAGUUGGGUGGACAGGAGGGGGCGUGCUCUGAAUUCAGAGACCAAAUUUCCUCCCGAAAAUAGAAAGAUACUGUCGUUUUCAUCGUCAUUUGACAAACGCGUUUCAUUUCCAAUCGUCACCCGGAGAAUGACAAACUAUGAUAAAGUGGCCAGAAUGUUCUAGGUCCUUAGGGGGCCCGGGUCCAGAUCCCGUGUUUAGGGCACAAGCUCUGGGGGUGGGGGGACCUCCGCCUGCCUCCGUGUCCCCACCUGGGAAAGGAGGCUCUCACACUGCUGUCCCCCAAAGCCCCCUGGUGGUCACACCGGGGGUCUGCGCUCCUAAAAGCUGCGCUCCGAGGCGGGCACGCCGGACACGCCCCCACGGGCCCCGGGAGGCUCCGUGAUUGGACCGUCGGCGGGGAGGUCAUUGCACCUGGAUUUAUUUACCCCCCUUUGUAUCUGAGCAAGGAAAUGCAGCCAUCAAUCAAAAAACUAAUCAUCCAUUUCUGUUGCUUUCCAUUAAAAGGGGCAUUUCUCAUCUGCUUGGCAAAAUGAGUUACGAGCUCCAUUGCAAACUUCACUUUCUGCUAAGUUCAUCGGGGAGCACGCCCGUCGCAAGAAGCAGCAGCGGGCGGGGCCGUCGCCGCCCGCCCCACACGGCCGAGGCAUCUUUAUUCAUUUUCGCUCUCUUAUAAAAUUAAUAAAUGUGGCUCCCCUGGGAGCGCUGGGUGUUUGGAGGACGAUGUAAUUUACUCAGGAGGAACCUGUCCUCCUGUUGCUCUGGCCCCACACUGCAAGACGACUAAUAUUUUCUGUCGCCUUUGUAGGACCGAAUAGAAAAAAAUCAUAAAAAUAUGAAUCAUAUUAUAGAUUUCCAGCUUGUGAAUAUUUUACAGUGGAAUUCAUCAAAAAUUUAGGUCGGGGGCUGCUGACUCGGCUGCAGAAAAUGCAAACCUGUGGCGCGGAUCCUUGAUUCAUGAGAAGGAGAAACAAGACCGUUUCUGGAGCCGGGCAACAGGAAUCGCUUUAACCAUUAUUGCCUUUCCUCUCUUCAUUAUUUAUAGGAGACUUAGGGCCGGCGCGGAGCGCCCGGAAACUCCAUUUUGAGCAAAGUUUGAGAAAAUACGCCACCGUGGUGAACUUGGCUGGAAGCUAUCGUGUUCCCUGGGGAAUAAAACGUGUCUUUAGGCUU
RNAcentral lists this long non-coding RNA (3688 nucleotides) under Sus scrofa (pig). RNAcentral's name for it is "lncRNA (ENSSSCG00015022625.1)". The record is from RNAcentral. Lineage: Eukaryota; Metazoa; Chordata; Mammalia; Artiodactyla; Suidae.